GGACCAUAGUUCAGUGGUAGAACAUUUGCUUGGCAUGCAGAAGGUCCCAGGUUCAAUCCCCCGCAUCUUCG
This 71-nucleotide transfer RNA is filed under the name Podarcis lilfordi (Lilford's wall lizard). RNAcentral's name for it is "tRNA.Ala". The stretch from base 7 to 63 matches the Rfam family "tRNA", at positions 8 to 63 of the family's 71-position model. Rfam says of the family: Transfer RNA (tRNA) molecules are approximately 80 nucleotides in length. Their secondary structure includes four short double-helical elements and three loops (D, anti-codon, and T loops). The record is from RNAcentral. Lineage: Eukaryota; Metazoa; Chordata; Lepidosauria; Squamata; Lacertidae.